This 343-nucleotide ribosomal RNA is filed under the name uncultured Bacillota bacterium. Its description in RNAcentral is "bacterial SSU rRNA". It matches the Rfam family "Bacterial small subunit ribosomal RNA", at positions 28 to 351 of the family's 1533-position model. The record is from RNAcentral. Lineage: Bacteria; Bacillati; Bacillota.
GAUGAACGCUGGCGGCGUGCUUAACACAUGCAAGUCGAACGAAGCAUUAUGCUUGAAACUUUUCGGAGGGAAGAGCGUAAUGACUGAGUGGCGGACGGGUGAGUAACGCGUGGGUAACCUACCAUAUACAGGGGGAUAACAGUUAGAAAUGACUGCUAAUACCGCAUAAGCGCACAGUAUCACAUGAUACAGUGUGAAAAACUCUGGUGGUAUAUGAUGGACCCGCGUCUGAUUAGCUAGUUGGUAAGGUAAUGGCUUACCAAGGCAACGAUCAGUAGCCGGCCUGAGAGGGUGAACGGCCACAUUGGGACUGAGACACGGCCCAAACUCCUACGGGUGGCAG